Molecule: ribosomal RNA, 614 nt
Filed under: Rasamsonia byssochlamydoides
Lineage: Eukaryota; Fungi; Ascomycota; Eurotiomycetes; Eurotiales; Trichocomaceae
Description: eukaryotic LSU rRNA
Rfam family: Eukaryotic large subunit ribosomal RNA
Source: RNAcentral
GAUACCCGCUGAACUUAAGCAUAUCAAUAAGCGGAGGAAAAGAAACCAACAGGGAUUGCCUCAGUAACGGCGAGUGAAGCGGCAAGAGCUCAAAUUUGAAAUCUGGCCCCUUCGGGGUCCGAGUUGUAAUUUGGAGAGGAUGCUUCGGGUACGGCCCCCGUCUAAGUGCCCUGGAACGGGCCGUCAUAGAGGGUGAGAAUCCCGUCUGGGACGGGUGGCCGGGCCCGUGUGAAGCUCCUUCGACGAGUCGAGUUGUUUGGGAAUGCAGCUCUAAAUGGGUGGUAAAUUUCAUCUAAAGCUAAAUAUUGGCCGGAGACCGAUAGCGAACAAGUAGAGUGAUCGAAAGAUGAAAAGCACUUUGAAAAGAGAGUUAAACAGCACGUGAAAUUGUUGAAAGGGAAGCGCUUGCAACCAGACUCGCCCAGGGAGGUUCAGCCGGCACUCGUGCCGGUGCAUUCCUCCCCGGGCGGGCCAGCGUCGGUUUGGGCGGCCGGUCAAAGGCCCCCGGAAUGUGUCGCCCUCCGGGGCGUCUUAUAGCCGGGGGUGCAAUGCGGCCAGCCCAGACCGAGGAACGCGCUUCGGCUCGGACGCUGGCGUAAUGGUUGUAAGCGGCC